UGGGGAAUUUUGGACAAUGGGCGAAAGCCUGAUCCAGCAAUGCCGCGUGUGUGAAGAAGGCCUUCGGGUUGUAAAGCACUUUUGUCCGGAAAGAAAUCCUUGGCUCUAAUACAGUCGGGGGAUGACGGUACCGGAAGAAUAAGCACCGGCUAACUACGUGCCAGCAGCCGCGGUAAUACGUAGGGUGCAAGCGUUAAUCGGAAUUACUGGGCGUAAAGCGUGCGCAGGCGGUUUGCUAAGACCGAUGUGAAAUCCCCGGGCUCAACCUGGGGAACUGCAUUGGUGACUGGCAGGCUAGAGUAUGGCAGAGGGGGGUAGAAUUCCACGUGUAGCAGUGAAAUGCGUAGAGAUGUGGAGGAAUACCGAUGGCGAAGGCAGCCCCCUGGGCCAAUACUGACGCUCAUGCACGAAAGCGUGGGGGAGCAAAACAGGAUUAGAUACCCUGGUAGUCCACGCCCUAAACGAUGUCAACUAGUUGUUGGGGAUUCAUUUCCUUAGUAACGUAGCUAACGCGUGAAGUUGACCGCCUGGGGAGUACGGUCGCAAGAUUAAAACUCAAAGGAAUUGACGGGGUCAUAGCUGUUUCCU
RNAcentral lists this ribosomal RNA (588 nucleotides) under uncultured bacterium. RNAcentral's name for it is "partial 16S ribosomal RNA". It matches the Rfam family "Bacterial small subunit ribosomal RNA", at positions 355 to 1375 of the family's 1533-position model. The record is from RNAcentral.